Molecule: ribosomal RNA, 500 nt
Filed under: uncultured bacterium
Lineage: Bacteria
Description: bacterial SSU rRNA
Rfam family: Bacterial small subunit ribosomal RNA
Source: RNAcentral
GAUGAACGCUAGCGAUAGGCCUAACACAUGCAAGUCGAGGGGCAUCACAUGAAGUAGCAAUACGGAUGGUGGCGACCGGCGCACGGGUGAGUAACACGUAUGCAACCUGCCUUCAACAAGGGGAUAACCCGUUGAAAGACGGACUAAUACCCUAUAACACAGGGGUCCCGCAUGGGAAUAUUUGUUAAAGGACAACCGGUUGAAGAUGGGCAUGCGUUCCAUUAGCUAGUUGGCGGGGUAACGGCCCACCAAGGCAACGAUGGAUAGGGGGAACUGAGAGGUUUAUCCCCCACACUGGUACUGAGACACGGACCAGACUCCUACGGGAGGCAGCAGUGAGGAAUAUUGGUCAAUGGGCGAGAGCCUGAACCAGCCAAGUCGCGUGCAGGAAGAAUGUCCUAUGGAUUGUAAACUGCUUUUGCAGGGGAAUAAAGUGAGCCACGUGUGGUUUUUGUAUGUACUCUGCGAAUAAGGAUCGGCUAACUCCGUGCCAGCAGCCG